GAGUUUGAUCGUGGCUCAGAUUGAACGCUGGCGGCAGGCCUAACACAUGCAAGUCGAGCGGAUGACGGGAGCUUGCUCCUUGAUUCAGCGGCGGACGGGUGAGUAAUGCCUAGGAAUCUGCCUGGUAGUGGGGGACAACGUUUCGAAAGGAACGCUAAUACCGCAUACGUCCUACGGGAGAAAGCAGGGGACCUUCGGGCCUUGCGCUAUCAGAUGAGCCUAGGUCGGAUUAGCUAGUUGGUGGGGUAAUGGCUCACCAAGGCGACGAUCCGCAACUGGUCUGAGAGGAUGAUCAGUCACACUGGAACUGAGACACGGUCCAGACUCCUACGGGAGGCAGCAGUGGGGAAUAUUGGACAAUGGGCGAAAGCCUGAUCCAGCCAUGCCGCGUGUGUGAAGAAGGUCUUCGGAUUGUAAAGCACUUUAAGUUGGGAGGAAGGGCAGUAAGUUAAUACCUUGCUGUUUUGACGUUACCGACAGAAUAAGCACCGGCUAACUCUGUGCCAGCCGCCG
This 513-nucleotide ribosomal RNA is filed under the name bacterium enrichment culture clone ALO1_GLFRUDD03GHX8V. RNAcentral's name for it is "bacterial SSU rRNA". It matches the Rfam family "Bacterial small subunit ribosomal RNA", at positions 9 to 517 of the family's 1533-position model. The record is from RNAcentral.